AGUCUGAUGGAGCAACGCCGCGUGAGUGAAGAAGGCUUUCGGGUCGUAAAACUCUGUUGUUGGAGAAGAAUGGUCGGCAGAGUAACUGUCGUCGGCGUGACGGUAUCCAACCAGAAAGCCACGGCUAACUACGUGCCAGCAGCCGCGGUAAUACGUAGGUGGCAAGCGUUAUCCGGAUUUAUUGGGCGUAAAGCGAGCGCAGGCGGUUUUUUAAGUCUGAUGUGAAAGCCCUCGGCUUAACCGAGGAAGUGCAUCGGAAACUGGGAAACUUGAGUGCAGAAGAGGACAGUGGAACUCCAUGUGUAGCGGUGAAAUGCGUAGAUAUAUGGAAGAACACCAGUGGCGAAGGCGGCUGUCUGGUCUGUAACUGACGCUGAGGCUCGAAAGCAUGGGUAGCGAACAGGAUUAGAUACCCUGGUAGUCCAUGCCGUAAACGAUGAAUGCUAGGUGUUGGAGGGUUUCCGCCCUUCAGUGCCGCAGCUAACGCAUUAAGCAUUCCGCCUGGGGAGUACGACCGCAAGGUUGAAACUCAAAGGAAUUGACGGGGGCCCGCACAAGCGGUGGAGCAUGUGGUUUAAUUCGAAGCAACGCGAAGAACCUUACCAGGUCUUGACAUCUUUUGAUCACCUGAGAGAUCAGGUUUCCCCUUCGGGGGCAAAAUGACAGGUGGUGCAUGG
Molecule: ribosomal RNA, 677 nt
Filed under: Lacticaseibacillus rhamnosus
Lineage: Bacteria; Bacillati; Bacillota; Bacilli; Lactobacillales; Lactobacillaceae
Description: bacterial SSU rRNA
Rfam family: Bacterial small subunit ribosomal RNA
Source: RNAcentral